GGACUCUGAAGAGGGUGGAGUGGAUGCAGGCAAGGUGACCGCCGCUCAAGUCAAGGGACGAGCAGGCCUGCAGACCUUGCGCAAGAGCCACCAGACCGCUCAAGUAUCUUCUAUGCAAGCACAUCUUUCAGCAUUCCCUGAUGCUUUUGUUGGUGUUUCUUGUUACAGACUUGUGAUCUGCAAUACACAGAAAGAAAAGAAGCAUUAUUAGACUCGACUCUGCUGCUGGAGGACCACAUGAAAAGGCUAGAAAUAUUUUGUUAGCUACAGGACCGGCCGGAUGCCAACAGAAUCGGCCAGCCAAGCAAGGGCUUCGUAAAAAAAAAUCUAAAAAUCAUGAUUGUGCAUGCUAUGUAUACAGUGAUCCCAUCAGGUAACAGAAUAAGAGAACAAGCUAGAAGAGUCGAAAAAACGACAGCAAGAUUCAUCGACAGUAAGAAGGUGAAAGGUAGGGGAUAAAUCUGAAAUGAAUGCAGUUUGUGUAAAGCCAUCACCCGGCUAUUUGGAACCCCAGCAAAAAAAUCUGAUCUCAUCUCUAAUAAGAAUCCAAGCCAUGUCACAGCAGUUUGUGUGAGCUUUGCCUGCCGCCGCCUUUAUUCUAAUCCUGAAUCUAUAAACCAGGUCUGUAGGGAGGCGCUAGGUAUACGAUCGUCGCCGUACGGCGUCCUUACCCUACAGCGUGGGAUCCGUAAAAAGAAGUGGGAUGGGAACGCAUCGUAGCGGCCGGCGUGCAAGUAAACUAGAUAAGGAAGACAGAGGAUGCAUGGAUUGGUUGGUUGUUGUUACGUACCUUGCGACGACGACGACGACGAGAGCCAAGGCUUCGUUCCGGUCGCCGGGCGCUGCACUUUUUCAGGGUCACCGGGCGCUGCACUUUUUAUGUUCCUUGCGACAACGACGACGAGAGCCAAGGCUUCGUUCCGGGCGCUGCACUUUUUCAGGGUCAGGGGGUGUCGAGACGAUCGCCGCUGGUGUUUCGGCGAGCUUAGAGAGGUGGGUGCGGG
This 1004-nucleotide long non-coding RNA is filed under the name Zea mays. Its description in RNAcentral is "long non-coding RNA (ZMAY_LNC004700)". Lineage: Eukaryota; Viridiplantae; Streptophyta; Magnoliopsida; Poales; Poaceae. The record is from RNAcentral.